Molecule: ribosomal RNA, 232 nt
Filed under: uncultured bacterium
Lineage: Bacteria
Description: partial 16S ribosomal RNA
Rfam family: Bacterial small subunit ribosomal RNA
Source: RNAcentral
CGGGUGAGUAACACGUGGUCAACCUUCCCUUUAGUGGGGAUAACUAGCCGAAAGGUUAGCUAAUACCGCAUACGACUUAUGAGUGGCAUCAUUUAUAAAUGAAAGUAGCAAUACGCUAAAGGAUGGGACCGCGUCCCAUUAGCUAGAUGGUGGGGUAAUGGCCUACCAUGGCUCCGAUGGGUAGCUGGUUUGAGAGAGCGAUCAGCCACACUGGGACUGAGAAACGGCCCAG